Molecule: long non-coding RNA, 4345 nt
Filed under: Pan troglodytes (chimpanzee)
Lineage: Eukaryota; Metazoa; Chordata; Mammalia; Primates; Hominidae
Description: long non-coding RNA NONPTRT003758
Source: RNAcentral
CAAACCCCGGCUGCCCCCACCCCCAGCCCAGGCUCUGAUCGGGCCCCACACUGGCGUUUUGUGGAGGAGACCCUGAAGCCAGGGGAGAUGUCAGUCAAGCCGCGCAGCACAGGGGCCCAACUUCCACUGGCAGAAUGCAAGCACCCAAGAGGCAGGAGUUUCACUCAAAGGCAGGGUUCACCCCUGUGUUCCCAGAGAUCGGACACAUAGCUGGUGUUCAGUAAACAUUUGCGGGAUGAGUGAAUAAAUGACGGAGCAUUUAUUAAGAGCAUGGCUGUGCUUGGCUCUCCAUACAGAGAUGAGUAAGGCAAGGGGCUUCACAGCUCUUGGCUGUGUGUGUGUCCGUGUGUGUGCAUGAGUGUGCGUGCAUUUGCCUCUGUGUGCCUGUGUAUCUGCAUAUGUGCAUGUCUGUGUUGUCAGCGUGCAUGCAUGUGCAUGUGUCCACGUGUUUCUGUGUGCAUGUGUGUGCCCGUGUGUGCAUGUGUCUGUGUGUAUAUCUGUGUUUGUGCCUGUGUCUCUGUGUGCAUGUCUCCGUGUGCCCACGUGUGUGCAUGUGUAUGUAUAUCUGUGUGUGCAUGUGCCUGUGUCUGUGUGCAUUGUGUCUCUGUGUGUGUUCAUGUGUGUGCAUGUGUCUGUCUGUGCUCUGUGUGUGUGUAUUUGUGUAUGUGUCUAUGUAUGUCUGUGUGUGUUCACAUGUGUGCAUAUCUGUGUGUUCAUCUCUGUUUGUUCAUGUGUGCAUGUGUCUCUAUAUCUGUGUGCAUCUAUGUGUCUGUGUUUGUGUGUCCAUGUGUGCAUUUGUCUGUGUAUCUGUGUAUGAGUGUCUGUGUGUCUGUGUGUGCAUGUCUGUGUUUGUGUGUUCAUAUGUGCAUGUUUCUAUGUAUAUGUCUCUAUGUUCAUGUCAGUUCAUGUCUGUGCAUGUUCACAUGUAUGCAUGUUUCUCUCCAUGUGUCUCUGUGUGUGCAUGUUUCUGUGUAUGUAUGUGUCUGUUCAUGUGUGUGUUGUCUGUGCAUGUUCACAUGUGUGCAUGUCUGUGUGUUCAUAUCUGCGUUUGUUCAUGUGUUCAUGUGUCUGUGUGUGUAUGUAUAUCUGUGUGUAUGUGUCUGUGUGUGUGUGUCUGUGUAUGCACAUGUGUGUAGGGGGAUCUGGGGGGUUCUGGCUCUGAGCUUAGUACUCUAUUCUUCAAAUAUCCAUUUCUUGGCAUCGGGCAUGACAGCCUAUCCAGCUUGGAGGUUUUCUGCCCCUUGGCUGAGGCUGGGCGAGCCGAACACCCAUUUCUCCUUUCUUUGUUGAGCCAUUCUUUUCUUCCUCAGGAUGUUUAUCCCAGGAAAUCCAGAGGAUCAGAACCAGGCAGGACCCGGCACUGGGACGGAGGCAGCUGUCUGCGGGGCGUUUACAGUAGAUAUGUAUCACCUGUUCUGAGACGGAGCCGGGGAGGCUGUUUUUAAUCAUCCGGGAGGUUGUAAAAUGUUUCCCGACGUUACGAGGACAGCUGCUGGAAUAAUGAUGCAGGUAGCUGGCACACACGCAGUGCAAAGGUUUCACCAGGCAUGGUCUUCUACGCCUAUCACCUGGUCAAUACGAGCAGCAGCCACGUUAAGGUGUAAUACACACUGGCGUCAUCUAACAUUCCAUGUGAGGAAACUGAGGCACACAAAGGGCAACUGGCUUGCUCAAGGUCGCGUGAAUGGCAAAGUGUGGAUCUGGGAUUCAAGCCCAGACAAUUGGGCUCCAGAAUUGACUUUAUUAGUCAUGAUCACUCCAGAGAAAACAUCAAGCACUUUUCAUUACAUGUUUAAUGAAAAUGAUGUUAAAGUGGUUUUGUAGGAGAAAACAUUUCAUUCAUGUAAAUACAUUUUACUGCAUUCUAAAAUCUAGCAGGAAAAGAUGUGGCCUAACUACCGUCAAGAUCUGGGUACAUUUCAUUGGAAAUACAAGCACAUUGGACAUGGGAAAAUACUGGGGAACUUUACACGGAAGAGAAUGCAUCUGAUAGUCUGGCGAACUAGCAUUUGCUGGAUUUUUAGGACAUACGGGAGGCCGGGUGCGGUGACCUCCCCCAGCAAUCCCAGCAAUCGGGGAGGCUGAGGCCGGUGGAUUGCUCGAGCCCAGGAGUCCAAGACUAGCCCGGGCAACAUGGUAAAACCUCACCUCUAUGAAAAAAAUACAAAAAAUUAGCCGGGCGUGGUGGUGCACAGCUGUAGUCUCAGCUACGUGGGAGGUUGAGGUGGGAGAAUCACCUGAGCCUGGGGAAGUCAAGGCUGCAGUGAGCCGAGAUUGCACCACUGCACUCCAGCCUGGGUAACAGAGUGAGACCCUGUCUCAACAAACAAAACACAAAAAUAUAUAUAUGCUGAAUGCUCAGUGAGCUGUAACAUGUGAGGCAGCCCCCAGGGGUGCAGAGAUGAACUGCUAAGAAGGCGUAUGUUCCCACGGGGUGCAGAGAUGAACCCCUGUCUGAGAAGGCGCAUGUACCCACGGGGUGCAGAGAUGAACCCCUGAGAAGGCGCAUGUACCCACGGGGUGCAGAGAUGAACCCCUGUCUGAGAAGGUGCAUGUACCCAUAGGGUGCAGAGAUGAACCCCUGUCUGAGAAGGCGCAUGUACCCAAGGGGUGCAGAGAUGAACCCCUGUCUGAGAAGGCGCAUGUACCCACGGGGUGCAGAGAUGAACCCCUGUCUGAGAAGGCGCAUGUACCCACGGGGGUGCAGAGAUGAACCUCUGAGAAGGCGCAUGUACCCACAGGGUGCAGAGAUGAACCCCUGUCUGAGAAGGAGCAUGUACCCACGGGGUGCAGAGAUGAACCUGUCUGAGAAGGCGCACACACCCACAGCUGCCCCUCAUCUUAGCACCACAGUGCCAGCCCCACCCUGUCUUUGAUAAGCCCUGGCCUUCCAGGGCCUCCCUCAGAGAACCAGCCCCUGCCGAGUGCCUGAACGUAGCUGCGGUCUGGGGUGCCGACCCUUGGCACUGGGAGAAACCGUCACCAGUAGCAUCACCCCCCAGUGAGCCAAGAUCGCACCACAGCAGCAUCACCGGGGAGGGAGUCACGUGGUUGUCACUGCAGAACUCUGGAGGGGCAGGCUCUCGCGUGGGUGGGGGCCAUGGAGGAUGCAGCGUGGGAUUUAAAAUGAGCCCGAUGAAGGGAAAUGCUGGUUCUUCAAUGUCCAUGAGCUCAAGCCCUGUGGGAAGUGUAGCCUCGAUUAUUUUGCACAGAUCUGAACAGCAUUCACCCCCAGUUGGAUAUGGCCCUUUUCUCGAAGCACAGAUUGGAACUCAAGGUCUCUGAAGUGCUUUCUGGCCGCAUCAUGGAGAGAAAGGCAUUUUCUCACUCAGGCAUCACCCCGGGAACGUGGCGUGCCAUGUUUUAGCAUCUAAGUGUGUCCCCUGAGGAGGCAGGGUUAUGCCGUAAUCACAAGCAACCCCCAAAUCUCAACGGCAUUAACGACACAGGGUAAUUUAUCAUGGGAUUGCGUGUCCACCUGGGUCCCCGCGGAGCUCUGUUGACUGGAGUCGCUCGGAGCCCCCGGCGCGAAUGCUGGAUGGCCGAGCGGGGAGGAGCGCUCAGGGGCUUCACGCUGUCAACACCCCACUCCGAAGUGACUCCCGCGGCUUCCAGCAGUCACCUGCUGGACAGAGACUGUCACACGGGCCCCCGCACACAGUGGGGUGGGAAGGGAGAUCCUACCGCAUACCUGGAAGACGGGAGAACAGGGGUGUUUCGGUGAGUAGUGCUCUCUCUCAGUCCGCACAGCAGCCUUCCAGCAAAUCGGGAUGUUAUGCCAAACCCGCCCCACGCCCCCAAAUGCCAGGCUCCCCGGGGUAGCAACGAAUGACACGUUGUCCAAUCAGACUUCAGUGCAACCAUGUCACAGAAGACAUGACUAAAGCAAAACAGGACUGGGUGGUGCUCAUUUUGGUUUUGACAAGGUCGGGCCUGGGUCUCUGCUUUCCUCUCCUGGGCCAAGAUCCUCUGGGCGUGGAGUUCAGGAACGAGGGUGGGACCUUCCCCAGGAGACCCAGGUAUGGGCAGCGGUUGCUGGGACCAAGUCCUCACUGAGAGUGACUUCGACAAACAUCCAUUGGCAGCUCCAGCUUAGGCCCAGGGGACAAAGUGGGGGUCACUGAUACCCCGGAUUUUUUUUUUUAAUGACUGAAUCAUGAUUUGAACACUGGUCUGUUGGAUUUCAAGAUCUGUGAUUUUCUCACUGAACAUGCUAACUCCUGGGACAGCAGAGUUCCUUAGAUUGGACCUAAUAACACACUGAUCCCCUCCCCUCCUGCUUUUUCUGUAUUUUUAAAAAAUUAUUUUGUUUUUUAUUCACAAAUAUUGUAUAUGUUAUAUGGGG